ACAGGGAUUCCCUUAGUAACGGCGAGCGAACAGGGAAGAGCCCAGCGCCGAAUUCCGCGUCCGAAAGGGCGUCUGGAAAAUGUGGCGUUUAGGAGGGACCGUGCCGGAUCGCAGCUCGUGCAACAAGUCCCCCUGAUCGGGGCUGUAACCCAGAGUGGGUGCGAGGCCCAUAGUUGCUAGACUGCGUCCGGAUGCGACCUCUUGGGAGUCGGGUUGCUUGAGAGUGCAGCCCUAAUCGGGUGGUAAACUCCAUCUAAGGCUAAAUACGGCCGUGAGACCGAUAGCAAACAAGUACCGUGAGGGAAAGUUGCAAAGAACUUUGAAGAGAGAGUUCAAGAGUACGUGAAACUGCUCAGAGGCAAACGGGUGGGUCCUCGAAAUCCCGUGGCCGGAGGAUUCAGUCUGAAGGGAAAGACGACUCUGCAGUCGUCGUACGGUUCCGCGAAGCGGACCGCGCUGCAGAGCGAGUGUCGAUCCUCGCCAGACGCAUUUCUUCUGGCCCAGAGGACGCCGCAGCCGGUUGGGUCUUUCUACAAGACGGCCGUGCGGGAAGCCAGGCAGGUGGCCGGCGGUGCGGCUCGCCCGCAUCGUCGGUGCUAUCCGGCUUUUGUCCCGGCUCGUCACCCGACCGAGGAAAUCCUUCGCCUCCUUCGCAGCGAAUGCAGAGAGGGUGACACGUUCCGGGUGAAUGCCGUCCCACGCCUCUUGCUGUGGACGGUCCGAAAACCGAACGGUUGGUCGCACUCUGUUCUGCGGGAGGAACGUAGGCUUGCGGCGAGUAGGUCGGUCGCCCACCCGACCCGUCUUGAAACACGGACCAAGGAGUCUAACACGUGUGCGAGUCAAUGGGUCUUGAACAGGCCCAUGGGCAGAUUGAAAGAGAAGGCGGACUCGUUCCGCCGUGUUGGGACUCCCCCGCCUUCGCGCGGAGGGAAGCACCAACGACCCGUCCUGUCUGGUCUCCAGUUGGGCGGAGUCGGAGCACACGCGUUGGGACCCGAAAGAUGGUGAACUAUGCCUGGGCAGGACGAAGCCAGAGGAAACUCUGGUGGAGGUCCGUAGCGGUUCUGACGUGCAAAUCGAUCGUCAGACCUGGGUAUAGGGGCGAAAGACUAAUCGAACCAUCUA
RNAcentral lists this ribosomal RNA (1128 nucleotides) under Sarascelis cf. chaperi MR490. RNAcentral describes it as "eukaryotic LSU rRNA". It matches the Rfam family "Eukaryotic large subunit ribosomal RNA", at positions 68 to 946 of the family's 3401-position model. The record is from RNAcentral. Lineage: Eukaryota; Metazoa; Arthropoda; Arachnida; Araneae; Palpimanidae.